This is a long non-coding RNA of Drosophila elegans, 2250 nucleotides long. RefSeq lists it as uncharacterized. The record is from RefSeq and is a predicted model, not a curated record. The transcript has 3 exons. NCBI's taxonomy places the organism in Eukaryota, Metazoa, Arthropoda, Insecta, Diptera, Drosophilidae.
GACUGCUGGCGAAUAAAACUAUAUUGCAUGCGGAACUUGAACGAGUCCUUAGUCCUGAGUCCUUGGGCCUGAUAGAAAAAGACUUCGUGCCCGGACAGUUGGCAGGAUGUCAGUCAGUCGCCGCAGAUCCUCCUGGCUGAAAUGAACUCAGAAUGGCAGUGUGAAUUACUCUAGAACAGCGAGUACCAGCUGAACUUGAAACGGAAAAUCAGGAAAACAAAAAAAACUUUUUAAAACUAAAAAACACGAGUAUCCAUCCUGACAAAUUCCAAGCAAAUUGCUGCCAAAUUAUGUCACCCCACGAAGCCCGAGAGCAGACACAUUUUUCAAGAGAUUUUUCUAGCAAACACUGUGUGUGUGCAAAUCCCUCCUGUGACAAUCAAAAUCGCUGGCAAAUAAACUAAAAUCAAACUAAAAUAACACAAAACAAACGACAAAUACCAGCAACUAAUCUACGCUAAUAAAUUGUCAACCAAAAUAAUUUCAACAAUAACCAAAACGUUCAGCACUCAGAGACAAAGAUGAAAAAGUUUUUUUUUGAGACGAUUUAGUCUCAAAUAGUUUUGUCUGUUUUCUGCCUUCGAGGCCGCAAAGAAUUCCAGAGGCUGUUCUCAAGUCGAAACUAUUUGAAUGGGAUUUUUUUAUCAAUUAUACCUAAAUAAGUAGAGUGGGCCGCACCCAUCGAUGCCAACCCCUCGAUCCGUUUGGCUAUCGAACUGUAGAGCAAGUCAAACAUGGAACAAUCGGUCAGCGACAAUGAAAAUGCCAAGUGCGAGUACGAGUACGAGUAGCUUUUUGCCGCCGCUGCGGCUUUCGAACAAUAUUUUUAGUUGUACUUUUCAUUUUCUAUUUAUUUAACUGCCAGCAGUGGCAGCAGACUUGAGUCUUGAGUCGGCCAACAAACCGCAUGCACGCUCGCUUUACAGGCUUCUUUUUACCACGGAAAAACUAAGGGGACUUUGGGGGGCAAUAGGUUUUUCCAGACGAGACGAGACGAGACGAGACGGGACGCCAAUGAAGCGAGAAAAAUUACUGUUUGUAAAGUGAGUUUGUCAACAUGAGGCGUGUGCAUCGCAGAACCAGACAAAAGCCAGAUACAGAUACAGAUACAGAUAUACAGAUACAAACAAGUAUCAUUAACGCAAUGCCCAAACCGUUAGAGAGGCAUGCAUUCGAGCUGGAGUUGGUUUGGUGGCAUCUUUACCUGGAAGCCGACUCCAAAAAGUCCAUAACUCCAAGUAUUUUUCUGCAGAAGUUUAGGUUCGUUUGGUUCGCUGCAGCUCUGCAGAUCAAGAGGGGAGCAAAAGUGGGGGACAUGGGCAAUGUAAUUGAAUACCUGGCAUACUCAUCUAUUCUCCACUUGAACCAUGUUUACAUUGGCAUGCCCAUACCCUCGCUGGGAUUAUGCAUGUUUGUCGGCACUUGAUGAGCAUUUUGUUGGCCAAGACUAUGAAUUAGCUAAGAUUUUUAUGUGGUUGUGGCUACCUAAAGAGCAGAAAAAUUAGCAAGCGUGUUAAGAUUUGAAAAUUCUACUUGAAAAUCAAAUGCAAUUAUAUCCGGAAUCUUUUUGUUUCAGAAGAAACCUUUUUCUAGUUACCUUUAUUAAAAAAUAAAAUCAAUAAUCACUGGGGACUAAUUACCUAUUAAAAAUAUAUUUUAGUAAUGUCUUUAAGACGUUAAAAAUACCAAAGAAAUGUAUACAAGUGCCUGCUGAUUAAAAGUGUUUAAUCAUUCUUGCACUAAUUCCCUAAAAGUCAAUAAUACCUGGAAACAAUUUGCCUUUAAGUAAUAUAUCUUAGUUAAUAAAUUUAGUUAAGGGUGGUAAUUUAAAAUAUUUGAGUUUCCAAUUACAAGCAUAAAUUAUAUUUAUUAGGGCAUACAUUAUUCGGACCUCGGUGGUUCCUAGUUCCUAGUUCUUUUUAAGUUUUGUUUGACUAGGCGUACGCUUAUGGCUUGUUGUCCUGGCUGAAAAUGGCACUGGACCCAACAUAGAUGGAGGCCCAGUAGAAGGUCCAAGCCAAGGCUACUGGACAAGGUCUGCAGCGUUGUCAGCAAUUACUCAUUUAUGGCUUGUCCCGGCAUUUCUCGCUCUCGGCUUCUGUGUGAGCUGGUAUCUGUGUUUACUGCCUUCCACAGCUCAAGGCACUGAAAAAGAGUAAAAUUCAAUUAGUAUUCCCUAAAUUCCUUAAGGGAAUUUGAUUUUACUUUGAUAGAAGUCGUUGAGCCUAUAUAUAAUAUUUAAACAUAAUA